This is a long non-coding RNA of Apodemus sylvaticus (European woodmouse), 608 nucleotides long. RefSeq lists it as uncharacterized. The record is from RefSeq and is a predicted model, not a curated record. The transcript has 3 exons. NCBI's taxonomy places the organism in Eukaryota, Metazoa, Chordata, Mammalia, Rodentia, Muridae.
CACGCGCCCACGAGUAACUCAUGCUCCCGCAUGUGACCCCAGGAAGUUCAUGGGUUCGCCAGCCUGGGAAUUGAUCAAUUGACUCCAUAUUGAACACUAGAAUCAGGAAGCAGUGAGUCCAGUCUUACUUCACAAACCUCUCACUCGGAUGGGGAAAGGAUCAAGGAAAGAGGCAAUGACAGUAUAGUGCUGCAGAGAGCUAGCUCUGGGGGCAUUUCCAUCUGGAAUCAUUCUUACUACCUUAGGCAAGGGUUAAAGAAUGUGAUCCUCGCCUCUGGAAGAUUUAUUCUGUGUUACUCAAGUGAGACUCUGCCUCAAAGAAGAUAAAUCUCUAGUUUCUGAAACAUUGGUCAAUAUGAAUAUACUGGUCCCCCGUGGGCUGAGCCGGCGUGAAGGAGAACGUGGCUUGUUUUUAUUCAUUGCCUUACUUUCUGUACUAAAAUCCAAAGGGUCUUAAGAGAUGAAAAAUGUUAAGCUGUGACCUGUCCAACUGUCUGGUUGCUUUGUCGCAGGCAAACUAAGAAUAAGAUAAUACACAACACGAAUAGAACAAUGCACAGAAAGACAUGCGUGAAGAACCUGGGCUCCACUCUUACAGCUCCUGCUCU